UAAUACAGAGGGUGCUAGCGUUAAUCGGAAUUACUGGGCGUAAAGGGUGUGUAGGUGGUUUGAUAAGUUAGAUGUGAAAUCCCCGGGCUUAACCUGGGAACUGCGUUUAAAACUGUUGAGCUAGAGUACUGUAGAGGAUAGUGGAAUUUCCAGUGUAGCGGUGAAAUGCGUAGAUAUUGGAAGGAACACCAGUGGCGAAGGCGACUAUCUGGACAGAUACUGACACUGAGACACGAAAGCGUGGGGAGCAAACAGG
Molecule: ribosomal RNA, 256 nt
Filed under: uncultured bacterium
Lineage: Bacteria
Description: partial 16S ribosomal RNA
Rfam family: Bacterial small subunit ribosomal RNA
Source: RNAcentral